This 253-nucleotide ribosomal RNA is filed under the name uncultured bacterium. Its description in RNAcentral is "partial 16S ribosomal RNA". It matches the Rfam family "Bacterial small subunit ribosomal RNA", at positions 524 to 776 of the family's 1533-position model. The record is from RNAcentral.
UACGGGGGGGGCAAGCGUUGUUCGGAAUUACUGGGCGUAACGGGCGCGUAGGCGGCCUUCUAAGUCGGACGUGAAAUCCCUCGGCUUAACCGAGGAACUGCGUCCGAUACUGAAAGGCUUGAAUCCGGGAGAGGGAUGCAGAAUUCCAGGUGUAGCGGUGAAAUGCGUAGAUAUCUGGAGGAAUACCGGUGGCGAAGGCGGCAUCCUGGACCGACAUUGACGCUGAACGGCGAAAGCUAGGGGAGCAAACGGG